This 465-nucleotide ribosomal RNA is filed under the name uncultured bacterium. RNAcentral describes it as "partial 16S ribosomal RNA". It matches the Rfam family "Bacterial small subunit ribosomal RNA", at positions 338 to 795 of the family's 1533-position model. The record is from RNAcentral.
CCUACGUGUGGCAGCAGUAGGGAAUCUUCCACAAUGGACGAAAGCCUGAUGGAGCAACGCCGCGUGAGGGAAGAAGGGUCUCGGCUCGUAAAGCCCCGUUGGUCGUGAAGAAAGAUAGAGGUAGUAACUGCCCUUUAUUUGACGGUACUUACUUAGAAAGUCACGGCUAACUACGUGCCAGCAGCCGCGGUAAUACGUAGGUGGCAAGCGUUGUCCGGAUUUAUUGGGGGUAAAGCGAGUGCAGGCGGUACAAUAAGUCUGAUGUGAAAGCCUUCGGCUCAACCGGAGAAUUGCAGCAGAAACUGUGGAACUUGAGUGCGGAAGAGGAGUGUGGAACUCGAUGUGUAGCGGUGGAAUGCAUAGAUAUAUGGAAGAACACCGAUGGCGAAGGCAGCUCUCUGGUCUGCAACUGACGCUGAGGCUCGAAAGCAUGGGUAGCGAACAGGAUUAGAUACCCUUGUAGUC